CCCUAUAAAACCUCUGUAGAAGAAGAAGACGAUCGAAUCUCACUUUCCAAGCUUCCUCUAUCUCUUACAAUGGCUUCGGCUUGCAAUAGACUCAUGAGCAGAUCCUCCGUCUCGUCUCUCAGAUCCGCCAUCAGAUCUUCGCUCCACAAAUCUCCAAUUGGUACCGGAUCUUCGCCGACUGCUUCCUCCGCCGGAUUUCGUCUUCCGUCUAAACCCGCUUCUUCUCCCCGAUUCUCCUUCUCCAGGUGUCCAUCUGAGCUUGGCUGUGUUCAGUCGCUGUUGCCGCUUCACAGCACGGUGGCUGCUGCUCGGCUGACGUCGUGCCUUAGCACAACCUCCAGAAGCAGCCGAGCUCUCUCUCAGGGUACUCUCUGCUGCACCUCUCCCGACCUCUAAUACUCUUUUCUGCUUUCUUUCUUGCACAUAAUUUCACCGUUACCAUGUCGGAUCCUUGCAUCUUUAUCAAAUGGAAUCGAUGGCACGUGAGACGUAUUUGCAGUUGUUUUUAAAGAGAUGGGCCUUUCAGUACCAAGGUGACCCUGAUACAUUCAUGAAGAGUAUUACUACUAUUAAGGGAGGCAAGUUUCUUAAGCUUAGAGGCAAGAAGUUGAUUAUUUGUUUGCGACUCCAAACUCUUGUUUUUUAAUUCAUAAAGAAAAAUGUGUAAUACUAUUUUCUCCAUUUUACACGACUCCUCUGAGCCUCUCAGAUUCUAGCCAUGUUUGAUUCCAUAACUAGUUAGACAUUGUGUUUACAUAA
RNA transcript from Eutrema salsugineum, 759 nucleotides. RefSeq lists it as uncharacterized. The record is from RefSeq and is a predicted model, not a curated record. The transcript is spliced from 5 exons. NCBI's taxonomy places the organism in Eukaryota, Viridiplantae, Streptophyta, Magnoliopsida, Brassicales, Brassicaceae.